This 148-nucleotide non-coding RNA is filed under the name Nomascus leucogenys (northern white-cheeked gibbon). Lineage: Eukaryota; Metazoa; Chordata; Mammalia; Primates; Hylobatidae. The record is from Rfam by way of RNAcentral.
GCUGGGUGUGGUUGCGCAUACCUGUACUCCCAGCUACUCUGGAGGCUGAGGUGGGAGGAUCACUUGAGCCUAGGAGGUCAAGGCUGCAGUGAACCAAGAUCAUGCUACUGCACUCCAGCCUAGGCAAUAGAGUGAGACCCUGCCUAAA